Molecule: ribosomal RNA, 468 nt
Filed under: uncultured bacterium
Lineage: Bacteria
Description: partial 16S ribosomal RNA
Rfam family: Bacterial small subunit ribosomal RNA
Source: RNAcentral
GACGAACGCUGGCGGCGUGCUUAACACAUGCAAGUCGAACGGAAAGGCCCUGCUUUUGUGGGGUGCUCGAGUGGCGAACGGGUGAGUAACACGUGAGUAACCUGCCCUUGACUUUGGGAUAACUUCAGGAAACUGGGGCUAAUACCGGAUAGGAGCUCCUGCUGCAUGGUGGGGGUUGGAAAGUUUCGGCGGUUGGGGAUGGACUCGCGGCUUAUCAGCUUGUUGGUGGGGUAGGUGCUUACCAAGGCUUUGACGGGUAGCCGGCCUGAGAGGGUGACCGGCGACAUUGGGACUGAGAUACGGCCCAGACUCCUACGGGAGGCAGCAGUGGGGAAUAUUGCACAGUGGGCGGAAGCCUGAUGCAGCAACGCCGCGUGCGGGAUGACGGCCUUCGGGUUGUAAACCGCUUUCGCCUGUGACGAAGCGUGAGUGACGGUAAUGGGUAAAGAAGCACCGGCUAACUACGUG